This 322-nucleotide ribosomal RNA is filed under the name uncultured bacterium. RNAcentral's name for it is "bacterial SSU rRNA". It matches the Rfam family "Bacterial small subunit ribosomal RNA", at positions 28 to 334 of the family's 1533-position model. The record is from RNAcentral.
GAUGAACGCUGGCGGCGUGCCUAACACAUGCAAGUCGAGCGAAGCGAUCUGAUGGAAGUUUUCGGAUGGAAGUCAGAUUGACUGAGCGGCGACGGGUGAAGUACGCGUGGUAACCUGCCUCAUACAGGGGGAUAACAGUUAGAAAUGGCUGCUAAUACCGCAUAAGCACACAGGACCGCAUGGUCCGGUGUGAAAAACUCCGGUGGUAUGAGAUGGACCCGCGUCUGAUUAGCUAGUUGGUAAGGUAACGGCUUACCAAGGCGACGAUCAGUAGCCGACCUGAGAGGGUGACCGGCCACAUUGGGACUGAGACACGGCCCAA